CUGCCUACGGGAGGCAGCAGUGGGGGAUAUUGCACAAUGGGGGAAACCCUGAUGCAGCGACGCCGCGUGGGUGAGGAAGUAUUUCGGUAUGUAAAGCCCUAUCAGCAGGGAAGAAGAUGACAGUACCUGACUAAGAAGCCCCGGCUAACUACGUGCCAGCAGCCGCGGUAAUACGUAGGGGGCAAGCGUUAUCCGGAUUUACUGGGUGUAAAGGGGGCGCAGACGGCAGCGCAAGCCAGGAGUGAAAGCCCGGGGCCCAACCCCGGGACUGCUCUUGGAACUGCGCGGCUGGAGUGCAGGAGGGG
Molecule: ribosomal RNA, 305 nt
Filed under: uncultured bacterium
Lineage: Bacteria
Description: bacterial SSU rRNA
Rfam family: Bacterial small subunit ribosomal RNA
Source: RNAcentral